Molecule: ribosomal RNA, 233 nt
Filed under: uncultured bacterium
Lineage: Bacteria
Description: partial 16S ribosomal RNA
Rfam family: Bacterial small subunit ribosomal RNA
Source: RNAcentral
GAUCCUGGGCUCAGGAUGAACGCUAGCUACAGGCUUAACACAUGCAAGUCGAGGGGAAACGACAUCGAAAGCUUGCUUUUGAUGGGCGUCGACCGGCGCACGGGUGAGUAACGCGUAUCCAACCUGCCCAUCACUUGGGAGUAACCUUGCGAAAGUAAGACUAAUGCCCAAUGAUAUCCCACGAAGGCAUCCGAAUGGGAUUAAAGAUUUAUCGGUGAUGGAUGGGGAUGCGU